RNAcentral lists this ribosomal RNA (254 nucleotides) under uncultured bacterium. RNAcentral's name for it is "partial 16S ribosomal RNA". It matches the Rfam family "Bacterial small subunit ribosomal RNA", at positions 524 to 776 of the family's 1533-position model. The record is from RNAcentral.
UACGAAGGGGGCUAGCGUUGCUCGGAAUCACUAGGCGUAAAGGGUGCGUAGGCGGGUCUUUUAAGUCAGGGGUGAAAUCCUGGAGCUCAACUCCAGAACUGCCUUUGAUACUGAAGAUCUUGAGUUCGGGAGAGGUGAGUGGAACUGCGAGUGUAGAGGUGAAAUUCGUAGAUAUUCGCAAGAACACCAGUGGCGAAGGCGGCUCACUGGCCCGAUACUGACGCUGAGGCACGAAAGCGUGGGGAGCAAACAGG